RNAcentral lists this ribosomal RNA (497 nucleotides) under uncultured bacterium. Its description in RNAcentral is "bacterial SSU rRNA". It matches the Rfam family "Bacterial small subunit ribosomal RNA", at positions 351 to 840 of the family's 1533-position model. The record is from RNAcentral.
GCAGUGGGGAAUUUUGGACAAUGGGCGAAAGCCUGAUCCAGCAAUGCCGCGUGUGUGAAGAAGGCCUUCGGGUUGUAAAGCACUUUUGUCCGGAAAGAAAUCCUUGGCUCUAAUACAGUCGGGGGAUGACGGUACCGGAAGAAUAAGCACCGGCUAACUACGUGCCAGCAGCCGCGGUAAUACGUAGGGUGCGAGCGUUAAUCGGAAUUACUGGGCGUAAAGCGUGCGCAGGCGGUUUGCUAAGACCGAUGUGAAAUCCCCGGGCUCAACCUGGGAACUGCAUUGGUGACUGGCAGGCUAGAGUAUGGCAGAGGGGGGUAGAAUUCCACGUGUAGCAGUGAAAUGCGUAGAGAUGUGGAGGAAUACCGAUGGCGAAGGCAGCCCCCUGGGCCAAUACUGACGCUCAUGCACGAAAGCGUGGGGAGCAAACAGGAUUAGAUACCCUGGUAGUCCACGCCCUAAACGAUGUCAACUAGUUGUUGGGGCUUCAUUUGCGU